Molecule: non-coding RNA, 2045 nt
Organism: Leptonychotes weddellii (Weddell seal)
Lineage: Eukaryota; Metazoa; Chordata; Mammalia; Carnivora; Phocidae
Source: RefSeq, a predicted model, not a curated record
UCUGGUGCUUUUUAAAUAAGAUAUGUUAUUCUAUGUUAUUCUAAAAUGAUUUUUUGAAAACGCCUGCAGAACUUCGGCAGCACCGUCCUGCAAUGUAAGCAGCGACCCCCCACCCCCCCUUUUUUUAGGCUUGCGGGAGAAAAUUUCUGGGGCCAGGACCAGGCUCCUCCUCCCUGGCUCCUUUCGGGCCGCCCCUUGGCCACGCCCCCAUACCGACCCUUUUACUCCAGUACCGCCCUCUUCUCCUUUGGUUGCUGAGAAAACCCGGAAGGGUGGACUUUCAACACUGACGUUCCCGGUGGCUCCUAUGCCAGGCUGGGCCUGUUCCGCCGCCGGGUCAGGGACUGCUGACAAGGAGAGAGGCGUCUUUAAGCAACUCCCAGCCUCUCUCCUCCUGCUCUCGGUCCUUGGCAAACGGAACAAAGUAGCACCUCCGACCCCCUGCCAGGAGCUCGGACCUGCAAAGUGGGUCAGGACUCGACUGAGCAUGCUCCGGACAGUGCCAGAAUGCCGCACGCGGCUGCAUCUCGUUGCCCAAGGUUGAUGUAGCUGCGCUCGCUCGUCACGACAUCGAAGAAUCAGCACAGUACGGCCACCAAAGGUGGAGAGUCGUAGAUGUGUGGAUCAGGGUCAGGAGCAUUCUGGAUCAUUUUUCGGGUUGGCAGUGGAGCUAAAAGCCCAGUUCUGCCAUGCAAGGUAGUCUGUCUGCCAACCUAUAAGCCAUGAGAACAAGAACAAGAAGAGUCAAGGAGCGCAGUGUGAAUACCUCGCAUCCGGCUGAUGUGGCAAACAAACAGAUGGUUGAUAGAGCAGGGGCACGGCCCGCCCUCCCCUGAUGGGAACCCAGAGAGGAGCCUCAUCCGGCCCCUUUUGCUGUUUCACGGGCCUCCACCAGCAGCCGCACUUGAUUUCAAGUUGGCAAAAGAAGUUUGACCCAGAGUCUUUGGAUGUAUACAGCCUCUGCUUGCAACAGUUUGUCUGUCCCCUGCUCUGACAUUCCAAUAGACGGCUACAUCUGGAUACUCCUACUGGAUUUCACUGUAUCUGUUUGUACCUGUACAACACUGAGUCAAGCCUGCAGCAAGCACAGGUCUGGAAGCUAUCACAGAUUUCAGGAUCCUCCCACCAGCUCCUUCAGGCAACAGUCAGUAAAGUCCUGAAGCUACUGUGAAUAACAAGCACCUAUCCCCAGGGUAGUGGAAUCAUCAGGUUCAUCUCAGUGUUCCUCCAGGCGCUGCGGCUUCCCAGGCUCACCUACGUAACUCCCACCGGUUGUCUUAAAAAUCAGGACUUGGGCUUGGAGCCAGCUAAUGUGAGCUCGGAGAUUUAAAGGAAGCAUUGAAUCCAAGUAGAUGUUCUCAGCAGCUCCGAGAGCAAAUAAAGAAAGUGUUUGAUUUUGAAGAAUCAGGCAUUGGGAGUCUGUACCACUGCUGCUGUCUAUUGGGAGACGGUGAUCGUGGAAAGUGGCAUGCAUAUAUAGUGAAAAAGAACCUAAAAAUCCCUUAUUCUGCAGAUCCUUCUCAGACAUCACUCCAGCCAGCCACUGCCAAGAGAUUAUAGCUGACACCUACUUCACAUCCCUGGUAUGAUGUUUAAAAAACUAUGAACUAGGAUCUGAAGUUCAAGAAGACCAUCAGCCCCUGACUCACUCUGUUUGUCCAAAUGCAUGGUAUAGAGCACUAGCUCCUAUUUUAAAGAAGCUUUAAAAUCCAGCUUGUGGCUCUCCAUUUCCUGUCUCCCUUCGCUCUAAGACUGGCAAUGCUCCAGGUAGAGGCUGCUUCUCUCAGCUUGGGGCUUGGGAUGGAGAUGACCCGGAACAGAGAAGCUGUGUGGUCGAUACGUGGAGUGUGAGAGCAAGAAACUUUCUAGCCAACAAAGAAGACUUUAAUAAAGUAUAAUUUGUAGACACUCCAUAAAUUACCCGUUAUCACUGGAAGAAGACCAGCUAGGAAAGUCAUAAAGCAUGUGUUCCAGCUUGCUUUUAUGAAUGGAUAAAGAAGAUGUGGUAUAUAUAUACAAUGGACUAUUAUGCAGCCAUCAAAAAA